CCUACGGGAGGCAGCAGUGGGGAAUAUUGCACAAUGGGGGAAACCCUGAUGCAGCGACGCCGCGUGAAGGAAGAAGUAUCUCGGUAUGUAAACUUCUAUCAGCAGGGAAGAAAACAGACGGUACCUGACUAAGAAGCCCCGGCUAACUACGUGCCAGCAGCCGCGGUAAUACGUAGGGGGCAAGCGUUAUCCGGAUUCACUGGGUGUAAAGGGAGCGUAGACGGCGACGCAAGUCUGGAGUGAAAGCCCGGGGCCCAACCCCGGGACUGCUCUGGAAACUGCGUCGCUGGAGUACGGGAGGGGCG
Molecule: ribosomal RNA, 305 nt
Filed under: uncultured bacterium
Lineage: Bacteria
Description: bacterial SSU rRNA
Rfam family: Bacterial small subunit ribosomal RNA
Source: RNAcentral